GUUGAGGACUAAACUCAGGCGAGGGGGGGGCGGGGGGGGGGUAGUUCUGAUGGAGGUCUCAUGGAUGUGACCUGGCCUGACUUGUGUGUGUGUGUGUGUGUGUGUGUGUGUGUGUGUGUGUGUUGUUGAAGUAUUGUGUUGUUUCGACAGGUGCUUUACAAAAAAAACAUGAAUUAACAAAUGGGGGGGGGGGGCUGAGGCAGUUUCUUUAAUUAUUACUAUUAUUAUAAAGAUAAGUGUAACUAUGUGGAGUAAACAUGUUUACCUUCUUUUUUUAGGAUUCACGCACCUCCACCCUGUGUGUGUGUGUGUGUGUGUGUCUAUAAGAGGAGGCGACACAGGUGUGUACCGUAAAAACAUCCCUGAAUCUUCCAGAUGAGGUCAUGUUUCUGCCCCCCCCCCCCCAAAGGAAAGCAUGGCCGCCUGAGCUGAACCGCUGUGAAUAGGAGAUUUAAUAGAUUCAGAGUGUGUGUGUGUGUGUGUGUGUGUGUGUGUGUGUGUGCACGCGCGCAUUAACUUUACAGAAUGUAGAGCUCGCGGUGGUCCGACGCAUGAGACCAUCUUUUUCCUCGUCACGACUUAACAGCCCCCAGUAGUUAAGGACAACUUUGUUUGGGGAAGAGCAAGAAGAAGAAGUCGCUUGAAGCUUUGCGUGUUUUCUGUUCUCGAUAGUUUCUGUGCGUCGGCGUGUGGCUCCGCCCACCUCAGGUGGAGGAAAUGUUUACACAGGUUCUAAUGCAUCAAUCACGUUAUGUUAAAUGCAUAUUUCUUGUUUCUUUGCCCAGCUGUAAUUGGAUAUUCUUUAGUUUUUUCUUUGCUCCCCCCCUUCACUACAUGACCUCCUUUACAGGACAAUGAAGAACACGCGUGUGCUUCUUUCAGGUAUUCACAUAGCUCCGCUCCUCCAACGGAUGACCUCCGUGCGACAGGAAGUCCUGCAAGCUUUAUUUUUUGUUGUUUGUUUUUUCUUUGAAUAAACUUUUAAAAAGUACUUUCAAAAGAACCUCGUGUCCUUUGUCUCUGAAAGUUCCCUAAAAAACCCUCUCGUGUCGGCGUGUUGAAAGCAGCGUUGUUGUGACACGCGUUGGCCAAUCAGCGCGUGAGAAGGAGACACUGUGUCCUCAGUUACA
Long non-coding RNA from Gasterosteus aculeatus aculeatus (three-spined stickleback), 1130 nucleotides. The record is from Ensembl. NCBI's taxonomy places the organism in Eukaryota, Metazoa, Chordata, Actinopteri, Perciformes, Gasterosteidae.